This 253-nucleotide ribosomal RNA is filed under the name uncultured bacterium. RNAcentral describes it as "partial 16S ribosomal RNA". It matches the Rfam family "Bacterial small subunit ribosomal RNA", at positions 524 to 776 of the family's 1533-position model. The record is from RNAcentral.
GACGGAGGAUGCAAGUGUUAUCCGGAAUCACUGGGCGUAAAGCGUCUGUAGGUGGUUUAAUAAGUCAACUGUUAAAUCUUGAGGCUCAACCUCAAAAUCGCAGUCGAAACUAUUAGGCUAGAGUAUAGUAGGGGUAAAGGGAAUUUCCAGUGGAGCGGUGAAAUGCGUAGAGAUUGGAAAGAACACCGAUGGCGAAGGCACGUUACUGGGCUAUUACUGACACUCAGAGACGAAAGCUAGGGUAGCAAAUGGG